GAUCAUGGCUCAGGAUGAACGCUAGCUACAGGCUUAACACAUGCAAGUCGAGGGGCAGCAUGAACUUAGCUUGCUAAGUUUGAUGGCGACCGGCGCACGGGUGAGUAACACGUAUCCAACCUUCCGUUUACUCAGGGAUAGCCUUUCGAAAGAAAGAUUAAUACCUGAUAGUAUGGUGAGAUUGCAUGAUAGCACCAUUAAAGAUUUAUUGGUAAACGAUGGGGAUGCGUUCCAUUAGGUAGUAGGCGGGGUAACGGCCCACCUAGCCGACGAUGGAUAGGGGUUCUGAGAGGAAGGUCCCCCACAUUGGAACUGAGACACGGUCCAAACUCCUACGGGAGGCAGCAGUGAGGAAUAUUGGUCAAUGGCCGAGAGGCUGAACCAGCCAAGUCGCGUGAAGGAAGAAGGAUCUAUGGUUUGUAAACUUCUUUUAUAGGGGAAUAAAGUGGAGGACGUGUCCUUUUUUGUAUGUACCCUAUGAAUAAGCAUCGGCUAACUCCGUG
Molecule: ribosomal RNA, 503 nt
Filed under: uncultured bacterium
Lineage: Bacteria
Description: bacterial SSU rRNA
Rfam family: Bacterial small subunit ribosomal RNA
Source: RNAcentral